Molecule: ribosomal RNA, 717 nt
Filed under: uncultured bacterium
Lineage: Bacteria
Description: bacterial SSU rRNA
Rfam family: Bacterial small subunit ribosomal RNA
Source: RNAcentral
AACAGGAUUAGAUACCCUGGUAGUCCACGCCCUAAACGAUGAUAACUCGAUGUUGGCGAUACACAGUCAGCGUCUAAGCGAAAGCAUUAAGUUAUCCACCUGGGAAGUACGACCGCAAGGUUGAAACUCAAAGGAAUUGACGGGGGCCCGCACAAGCGGAGGAGCAUGUGGUUUAAUUCGAUGAUACGCGAGGAACCUUACCUGGGCUUGAAAGUUAGUGACAGUCCCUGAAAGGGGAUCUUCCGCAAGGACGCGAAACUAGGUGCUGCAUGGCUGUCGUCAGCUCGUGCCGUGAGGUGCUGGGUUAAGUCCCGUAACGAGCGCAACCCCUAUCAUUAGUUGCCAUCAGGUUAAGCUGGGGACUCUAAUGAGACUGCCCGCGCAAGCGGUGAGGAAGGUGGGGAUGACGUCAAGUCAUCACGGCCCUUACGUCCAGGGCUACACACGUGCUACAAUGGUAGAUACAGCAGGUUGCCACAUGGUAACAUGGAGCUAAUCCCAAAAGUCUAUCUCAGUUCGGAUUGAGGUCUGCAACUCGACCUCAUGAAGCUGGAUUCGCUAGUAAUCGGAAAUCAGCAAUGUUCCGGUGAAUACGUUCCCGGGCCUUGUACACACCGCCCGUCAAGCCAUGGAAGUCGGGGGUACCUGAAGUCGAUAACCGUAAGGAGUCGCCUAGGGUAAAACCGAUGACUGGGGCUAAGUCGUAACAAGGUAACC